GGAGUCGUCCGGGUGGCCGCGGGCCGCAAGGCUCGAGGAAGGUCGGGGCUUCACAGGGCAGGGUGCUCUCGCGAGGCAGGGCGACCUGACGGAAAGUGCAACAGAAAAUACACCGCCCCUUCGGGGGCAAGGGUGAAAUGGUGCGGUAAGAGCGCACCAGCGGCGAGGUGACUCGUCGGCUUGGCAAACCCCACCCGAAGCAAGGUCAAAUAGGGGUGAUCGGCGGCCCGUCGCCAGGCUUGGGCCUGGAAGCCCCUGGUAGACCGCUUAGAUGGAUGGCCACCGCGGCCCCUUGGGGCCAGACAGAACCCCGCCUACAGGGCGGCUCCUGCG
This 333-nucleotide RNase P RNA is filed under the name Actinomycetota bacterium. RNAcentral describes it as "RNase P RNA component class A". It matches the Rfam family "Bacterial RNase P class A". From Rfam's summary of the family: Ribonuclease P (RNase P) is a ubiquitous endoribonuclease, found in archaea, bacteria and eukarya as well as chloroplasts and mitochondria. Its best characterised activity is the generation of mature 5'-ends of tRNAs by cleaving the 5'-leader elements of precursor-tRNAs. Lineage: Bacteria; Bacillati; Actinomycetota. The record is from RNAcentral.